GAGAAAGCUUGCAAGGACUGCUAAUCCAUGCCUCCGUGUAUAACAAAACGGCUCUCUCA
This 59-nucleotide transfer RNA is filed under the name Piliocolobus badius (western red colobus). Its description in RNAcentral is "tRNA-Ser". The record is from RNAcentral. RNAcentral also lists the same sequence under 2 other names. Lineage: Eukaryota; Metazoa; Chordata; Mammalia; Primates; Cercopithecidae.